RNAcentral lists this small RNA (327 nucleotides) under Arabidopsis thaliana (thale cress). RNAcentral's name for it is "ATSL191190". The record is from RNAcentral. Lineage: Eukaryota; Viridiplantae; Streptophyta; Magnoliopsida; Brassicales; Brassicaceae.
AUUUUUUUUUAAAGUUAGUAUAUAUAAAAAUUUGCAAAUUGUAUCUAUCUAUUAAAUAUUUUUAUUUUAUAGUUUACAAUUGUUAUUAAGUAACGUCCUGCCAAACCCGUACCGCCAACCCGUCCCGUAAAAAAAUUUAUUUAUUUUAUUAAUGUUGAUUUUAUUUAUGAUAUGUUUAUGAAUCAUUGUUUAAAUAUUUUGUAAUUUUGUAGUAAUUAAUUGCUAUCAAAUAUCUCUAUGGUUUGCGGCUUAUAAUCGAAUUGUUAUAAUCAUGAAAAAAAGCAAUAUCAAAAAUGAUAAUUUUGUAGUGUUUAAAUCAUAUUAAUU